GUAGGUGAACCUGCGGAGGGAUCAUUACCGAGCGAGAAUUCUCUGAAUUCAACCUCCCACUCGUGUUUAUUGUACCUUGUUGCUUCGGCGGGCGCGGACCCGCCGAAGACACCUUGAACUCUGUAUGAAAAUUGCAGUCUAAGUCUAAAUAUAAAUUAUUUAAAACUUUGAACAACGGAUCUCUUGGUUCCG
This 192-nucleotide unclassified non-coding RNA is filed under the name rhizosphere metagenome. RNAcentral's name for it is "partial ribosomal RNA internal transcribed spacer region". The record is from RNAcentral.